This is a long non-coding RNA of Belonocnema kinseyi, 616 nucleotides long. RefSeq lists it as uncharacterized. The transcript has 4 exons. Lineage: Eukaryota; Metazoa; Arthropoda; Insecta; Hymenoptera; Cynipidae. The record is from RefSeq and is a predicted model, not a curated record.
CAUCUUGAAUAACACAUAACCGUAAAAUGAAAUAAUUUGAAAUACCAAACUAUAAUUUACUAUAGUUACUGCUGGAAUCAAUUAAAUUGAGAUGCUUUGGGAAGCUUUAUUUUCGAACCUUUUAAAGACUAUGAAUUCGAAAUAAUUGAAGAAGAUGGUAAAAACGAAGAUUUUAUAAAUAGUGACGAUGUUGCAGGAGUUUGCAAGGUUACUGACGCAGAAAUUAAUAUGGACCGAAAAAGAAAAGCUGUUGAAUUUUGGAAAAAUGAGCAUGGUAGAAAAAGCAUAAAUUGAGUACAGUUCAAAAAAACUUUAGAUUUUUUCAUCUGAACGACAAUUAAGAAUAUGGGCGCAGCAACUAGAACAUCUAAUAAGGCAGGAGUUAAAGGAUCAAAUCAGGGGCUACAUUUCGACUCAGAAUUGAAUAUCGUUUAUCCGCCCAAGGCUCAGGGAGAAGAAGGACUUUGUUAUAUUUGGCUGAAAAACAAGGGAUUGAAAAUUUGGUAGAAAAGCGCAAAAAUGGUAUAAAAUUGAACGGUUAGAUAUUAGCAAAAUAGUUCAAUAUUCAAGCAAAAAGAUGAAUUUUCCUGCAAGCAGAUUUAUUCCAGUGGAAGUA